CCCGGGGAGUGCUCGGGUCGCCGCUGCACCCGAUGCUCACGCAGACCAGGGAGACGCCGCGCAAUUCCGCGCCCGGGCCCCCCACCGUUCUUAGUGUGCUGGCUAAACCGAGUAACGGAGUUCAUGGCCGGGGCUGCGACGGUGUCCUUAUGAGGGAACAGUCCCUCAGACGUCGGUCGCUCUGACGGACCUGAACGGUCACCGCUAUGACAAAGAACUCCGAAAUUCAGCUCCCGGGGCUCGACGCUGAAACAGGAGGUCUAACCAACACCUGUCUCUGGCAGCUGAGCGAGAAUGGAUUCUGAAACAGAGUAAAAUGCAAACAGAACUGAACUGGCAGCCACUCUGUGAGAAUGCUGGAUGUAAUUGGUAUCAGAAAUCAGAGGAUCUAGCACACAGCCUGUCUUCAUCAAGAGAGGAGAUAUUUCAGUAUGAUGAUGAAAGUUCUCUGUGUAAAGAUAUGCCUGCUUUGGAAAUAAAAAAGCUGCAGGAACAGAAUGCCAGCCUUCGGGCUGCUAUUGCACAAAUGAGGAAGGAAAUGGAGAGUCUUGAUGAACAGAUGUUGUCCUCUCUUACUCUAACAGAAGACAGACAGCUUGCACAGCAAGGUUCAUUGAGCACCAACAAAAUUUCAACUGAAACCACACUGAGCAACAUCAAAGUCAGUUCAACUAAGUUGGAUUGUGUAGUAAAUCCAAACACAGAAGAGGGGCCAGUACCCAAAGUUCUUGAAGAAAACAUGGUAGAUUUUGGACAACUGCUACCUGAUGUAGGUACCGGUGUUGGUUGUCAGUAUAGUGCCAAACACACCCUACAAGGAAUGCAAAAUAAACUCAAGGAAGCAGCAAGAAAAAUCUCAAUUCUGAGCCAAGAAAAGCGGCAGCUGAUUGAAAUGGGAAACAGACUCAGGGCAGAACUUGGAAUGGUGUUAAAGGAAGGACUCUGGCAUCCUGUUAGAUCUAAGCACUGCACAGUUUGUAUUGCCUCUGGUAGUCUUCUUCCAAGAGAACUUGUCAAAAGAACACAGUGUCAGCUAUCCGUUCUAAAGCAUCUACAGCACAGACUCUCAACACAGGAGCUGCAGUGUGCAAGGCAACAGCAUCUUUCAAGGUUCUCUUCUCCUACUGCCUGCCCUAGCUUAAAGGAAGCUCCAAGCAGCUGUGGGGAAGAAAAAGAAUUACCAUCUGCUGAGAUUCACCCAAGGUUCGGCAAUUUCUUUUUUGAAAAUGAUGAGCCAGAUACAUUCUCAGCAACAAAGGCAGAUACAUCCACAAAAACUGUUCAAACUCAGCUGCUCAGUCAGAGUCCUAGUCAAGUCCUGCAGGUCCAACUUUCUUCGUCUCGAGCGCAUAAUUUCUGUCAAAUUUUAGACACGGGAUCAAGCCUUUCUCUACUCAGUCCUCGAAAGAACAGCAGCCAGGUGGAGUUUGAAGUUGUACAUUCAAUGGAGCAAUCUGAAGAAUCUCAGCAAAAUGUGAAAGCCAAGGAUAAACUUGAAACGUCAUCUGAAGAUUUGACAGUCAGAGGAACAAGGCUGGAAGUUCAGCAGAAGUUAAAAUCUAGAAAUUUAUCUUGUGCUCAUCAAUUAAAACCAAAAAUCUCUUCUAGCAUGGCAAAAAUCCGCAAUUAUAAUAUUAAAGACUGACUUCUAUGUUGACAGCAUGUUGUAGUUUUGCACUUGCUAUUAACUCACUUCGAGAUCUCUAUAUCAGGUCUAAUUAUCAGCCUCAGUUUUGUAUGUUAGGUUGAGAUAUCUGCAGCCAGAAGAGAGAACAAAUACCCUGCUUCGUACACUGAAGCCUAAAAUAAAGGGUUAAUUUGUGUACAUUAUGAGAUUACAGACUUCACUGUUAAUACUGAUUUAUUUUAAUUAUAUAUGUUAAGAUUUUCUUGCAUCAUGGAUUUAGAAAUGCCCAGUUAACACACAGGUAAAGCCUUGUGCCUUCAGGCAGGGCUUGCAGGACUUUAGCAGGUAUUUUGUUGAGAAACUGUAGAUGUGAUUUAAGCUUAGAAGUGAGAUGCCUCAACCUACUUGUCUUCUUCUAAUUAACAAUGCAACCGUUAAUCCUGUGCAGCUAUCUUUCUACUUAAGAAAGAAAGGGGUUUAAAAGCAUUACAUCUGAGUCUGUAUUAUUUCUCAUCUUCUGUAGCUCUUUCCACUUGUUCAGAGAACAUGAAAGAGUAAAAAAUUAAAUUUGUACUGUUACACUAGAUUGUAUUUUCCCUUGGCAACAGAUUGUAGGGACUUGAAAGCAGUGAGAAACACUGCUACCAUGUUACAGUCACAUGCUCAGAAUAGUACAGACAUGUCAUAAGAAGUAAGUCUUAAAACAGAUGAAACUAAAAGAAAACUUGAAUGAGUUGUGAUGUAACAAAGGAUAGCUACGUAGUAAUGAACAUGCCAGGACACUAAUAGGAGUAAUCAGUGUAUUUUUGUAGCAUUUCCAGUAAUGCUGACUGUCCUGGGAUAUUACAGAGAUUAACUUUCCUGUAAGUAAAGGAAAUGCACAUGAAAAAUUCAAGAAAAAACUUUUAAUUGUAGGAAUGGUCCAGCACUAGA
Molecule: long non-coding RNA, 2560 nt
Organism: Cyanoderma ruficeps (rufous-capped babbler)
Lineage: Eukaryota; Metazoa; Chordata; Aves; Passeriformes; Timaliidae
Source: Ensembl